UCAAGCCAUGUAUCUUACAAGAUCAAUGCAAAGUAUGUUUGUCAGUAUAUGGAGCUUAAUGAUUAUUUCAGUGAAGUAUAGUUGUUUCUUGCUUGAAAUAUUGUUAAGCACCUUGAGCAAAUGAAGAUUUGUGUAAAUGAAUAGCAAGCAUAGCAAAGGAGAAAAGCUAGCUAGGGAGCAAUUGUAACUACCUGUAGCUCAAUAGGUAGCUGCAGGUUAUGGAUGAAUUUUUUUGAAAGUGUGCUCCUUUCAAUUUCAGAAAGAGAGUGACUGAUGAUGAGAACCAUGUUCCAUCUCUUCAAAGCUGCUCUUUUGCAGAAAGAAGCUCCAACAGUCCCACACAUGUUCUUUUUGGACCCACUUGCUCUCCAGCCACUAAGUUUAACAGGGAAGAGCGGUAAAUUAAUGUAUUUUUACAGCAAAAGAGAGUUGAGAUAGGAAUAUGGAGAUGAUUGGAGUCAUUAAGAUAUUCUUAUUUCUAUAUUUGCUUGCACAACAACUGCAGCCUGUUUAUGUUGGUCCUAGUACUAGAUUAAAUUGGCCAGGUGAUAAUGGCAUGGAUAUAUAGAAGUUGCUAUUGUAUAUUUGCAUGCAAAUUUGCCAUAUAUAUGUAUAGAAAUGCAUUGUUAUGUUCUUUACAAACUGACAUUUGAUAUCAUUGCAUGUAUACAUGUGGCAGAUGGAAUUGCAGAAUCAGCAGCAUGAACCCCUUACCCAAGGGAGGAAUGGUGGAUGGACGAUGGGCUACAAGUAGUCCGUGGUGGUCAGAGGAGGAGGAUUAUUCUACGCCUCACUGACGAACACCUGUACAUAAUGACUUGGAACCCUAACUUAAUUUAAUCUUCAGUCUCUGGCUUUAUCUCUGCCUCUCCCUCUCUUAUUGGUGUUGUAGCUUAAUUAGCUAUGAAUCAAACCCUAACAAUACUCACCCCAAACCAUGAAGAAACAACACACCCUGACCCUGUUAGGAUUAUGUAUUGUGUGGCUGAAUCUCAUCGUUUAUUGGUCUCGCUUAUGGCUCGAAAAAAAAAUGUAAAUGUAAUGUAUUUUUUUUGUUUAAUUAUAAUUUAAUAAUGAUGAUCCGC
This 1085-nucleotide long non-coding RNA is filed under the name Panax ginseng (ginseng). RNAcentral's name for it is "long non-coding RNA (PGIN_LNC018602)". Lineage: Eukaryota; Viridiplantae; Streptophyta; Magnoliopsida; Apiales; Araliaceae. The record is from RNAcentral.